This 428-nucleotide ribosomal RNA is filed under the name uncultured bacterium. Its description in RNAcentral is "partial 16S ribosomal RNA". It matches the Rfam family "Bacterial small subunit ribosomal RNA", at positions 354 to 796 of the family's 1533-position model. The record is from RNAcentral.
GUGGGGAAUAUUGGGCAAUGGGCGCAAGCCUGACCCAGCAACGCCGCGUGAGGGAAGAAGGCUUUCGGGUUGUAAACCUCUGUCCUUGGUGACGAAACAAAUGACGGUAGCCAAGGAGGAAGCCCCGGCUAACUACGUGCCAGCAGCCGCGGUAAUACGUAGGGGGCGAGCGUUGUCCGGAAUUACUGGGCGUAAAGGGUGCGUAGGUGGCCUUUUAAGUUGGAUGUGAAAUACCCGGGCUUAACUUGGGGGGUGCAUCUAAUACUGGAGGGCUAGAGUGCAGGAGAGGAAAGCGGAAUUCCUAGUGUAGCGGUGAAAUGCGUAGAUAUUAGGAGGAACACCAGUGGCGAAGGCGGCUUUCUGGACUGUAACUGACACUGAGGCACGAAAGCGUGGGGAGCAAACAGGAUUAGAAACCCGUGUAGUCC